Molecule: ribosomal RNA, 207 nt
Filed under: uncultured bacterium
Lineage: Bacteria
Description: partial 16S ribosomal RNA
Rfam family: Bacterial small subunit ribosomal RNA
Source: RNAcentral
AGCGCAGGCGGCACGUUAAGUCAAUUGUUAAAUUCCCCGGCCUAACCGGGGGUCAGCAAUAGAAACUGGCGCGCUAGAGGGUGGAAGAGAGAAGUGGAAUUCUCGGAGUAGCGGUAAAAUGCGUAGAUCUCGAGAGGAACACCGAUGGCGAAGGCAGCUUCUUGGUCCAUUUCUGACGCUCAUGCAUGAAAGCGUGGGGAGCAAACA